Molecule: ribosomal RNA, 385 nt
Filed under: Pristimantis ventrimarmoratus
Lineage: Eukaryota; Metazoa; Chordata; Amphibia; Anura; Strabomantidae
Description: partial 12S ribosomal RNA
Rfam family: Bacterial small subunit ribosomal RNA
Source: RNAcentral
CCCAUAUCCCCCUAGAGGAGCCUGUCCUACAACCGAUACCCCCCGUUUAACCUCACCACUCUUAGUUUAUCAGCCUGUAUACUUCCGUCGUCAGCUUACCGCGUGAGCGAAUUAAGUAAGCUUAAUGUCCCCCCAUCAACACGUCAGGUCAAAGUGCAGCAUAUAAAGUGGCAAGAGAUGGGCUACACUUUCUACAAUAGAAAAAACGAAAAAAUAUGUGAAACCAUAUUCAGAAGGUGGAUUUAGUAGUAAGGGAGGAAUAGAAUGCCCCCCUUAACCCGGCACUGGGGUGUGUACACACCGCCCGUCACCCUCCUCAACAAACCUAAUUAGUUCUUAACAAUAUGCCAACUUAUAGAGGAGGCAAGUCGUAACAUGGUAAGUA